This 253-nucleotide ribosomal RNA is filed under the name uncultured bacterium. RNAcentral describes it as "partial 16S ribosomal RNA". It matches the Rfam family "Bacterial small subunit ribosomal RNA", at positions 524 to 776 of the family's 1533-position model. The record is from RNAcentral.
UACGGGGGGGGCAAGCGUUGUUCGGAAUUACUGGGCGUAAAGGGCUCGUAGGUGGCCAACUAAGUCAGACGUGAAAUCCCUCGGCUUAACCGGGGAACUGCGUCUGAUACUGGAUGGCUCGAGUUUGGGAGAGGGAUGCGGAAUUCCAGGUGUAGCGGUGAAAUGCGUAGAUAUCUGGAGGAACACCGGUGGCGAAGGCGGCAUCCUGGACCAAUACUGACACUGAGGAGCGAAAGCCAGGGGAGCAAACGGG